This 687-nucleotide ribosomal RNA is filed under the name Actinomyces viscosus. Its description in RNAcentral is "bacterial SSU rRNA". It matches the Rfam family "Bacterial small subunit ribosomal RNA", at positions 115 to 797 of the family's 1533-position model. The record is from RNAcentral. Lineage: Bacteria; Bacillati; Actinomycetota; Actinomycetes; Actinomycetales; Actinomycetaceae.
ACGUGAGUAACCUGCCCCCUUCUUCUGGAUAACCGCAUGAAAGUGUGGCUAAUACGGGAUAUUCUGGGUCUGUCGCAUGACGGGCCCGGGAAAGAUAUUGCUUCGGUGGGGGAUGGGCUCGCGGCCUAUCAGCUUGUUGGUGGGGUGAUGGCCUACCAAGGCGGUGACGGGUAGCCGGCCUGAGAGGGUGGACGGUCACACUGGGACUGAGACACGGCCCAGACUCCUACGGGAGGCAGCAGUGGGGAAUAUUGCACAAUGGGCGCAAGCCUGAUGCAGCGACGCCGCGUGAGGGAUGGAGGCCUUCGGGUUGUAAACCUCUUUCGCCAGUGAAGCAGGCCUGCUCCUUGUGGGUGGGUUGACGGUAGCUGGAUAAGAAGCGCCGGCUAACUACGUGCCAGCAGCCGCGGUAAUACGUAGGGCGCGAGCGUUGUCCGGAAUUAUUGGGCGUAAAGAGCUCGUAGGCGGCUGGUCGCGUCUGUCGUGAAAUCCUCUGGCUUAACUGGGGGCUUGCGGUGGGUACGGGCCGGCUUGAGUGCGGUAGGGGAGACUGGAACUCCUGGUGUAGCGGUGGAAUGCGCAGAUAUCAGGAAGAACACCGGUGGCGAAGGCGGGUCUCUGGGCCGUUACUGACGCUGAGGAGCGAAAGCGUGGGGAGCGAACAGGAUUAGAUACCCUGGUAGUCCA